UUUUCUUUAUGGAACGAUGAAAAGCUCUAUUAAGCACAACACAUCAUAGCCGUUUUUCUAUACAUCUCUCCAGGGAUUGUUUUAUCACGUUUUAUAAUCCAUUGGAUACGUGGAUUAUACCCAGUGUGAACAGAGAUUUCAAAAGAGGCAAGAGUACGUAUCACCUGUGUCAAAUAUACGUAGUAACUGUAACAAUGGUGUGCUAUGUAUAAUAGUAGGCAGAUUUUAUUGUCAGAAUUGAUUGUCUCAUCGGAUUAUAAUAAAACUCAACCAUUACAUUCUUACAGAGAAUCUUCAAAUAUUAAAACAAUUUCUCCUGUCAAUUACGGAAUAAAUCCUGACAAGGCUGUUAUUUCCUCUCCUUCUUGUAUUUCUCUAAAUUUAUUAAAAUUAUCCUUAAAUAAGUCAAUUAUAAUAAAUUAACAAAUUAAAGAACACGAUUUAAACAAAUAUUUGUACGCAAUCCUGUAACAUCUGUGCAUAUUACACUAUUGCUAUAUACGCAUGCGCCAUAUCAUUGAUAUGCCUAUUAUAAGCAGAUUCUAUGGACGGGCAGCGCAGAGGUGAUGAUAGUAGCCAAUAAUUGGCAACACAAAAACACACUAUGGUGGUGGUAACGUCCAGGUUGAGAUUACGAAGCAGCGUACCCAUAAGCUGCUCAUCAACUGCCACCAUGUAUGAAGCACGAUUUAACGGAGACUGAUUGACAAUAUCAACAUGGCUGAUGCCAAACUACCAUUUAAAGAUUACUAUAUGUUGAUGUCUCGCUCGUGUUGUACUGCGCUAUAGAACGCCGAAGAAGGUGUCUCCUAACUUCAAUUAAAACCAUACGAAAAACUGUUAUGUUACGCCAGACACCAGAGUUAACUAAUAUCAGUUUUGGAUGUUUCGGCGAAAAUGAAAACGUGACACUGAGUCCGGCUCAAGUCGACAAAGAAUGUCAAAUCUUUAUCUUAUUGGGUCGUUGGAAGAGAAUGCCAAUUUAUGAACCACGUGCUCACUUAUUGCAACGAUACAGAAGCGUAUUUCCAGACGAAAAAAGGCAUCACAACAAGUGGGUGAUUCCUUGGACAUGGUCAAGAAAUAUGACGACAAUAAUCGCAAAUUUGCUGAAAGCGCAAUAUGGACAUUUUACAGAUAUCGCGGUUCGGUUGUUUUGCUUUCGCCACAAUUAAUGGGUUAUUUAUAAAUCUCUGAUCUUGUUUUGGUGCUCCUUUGUAUGAGUUGACGAGAAAAUGCUAUACCUACCAUAUAUCGUUUUUCUACUACCAACAUUUUCUGAAUUGAAUUUAUUCUUAUAGCAUUGAUGCAUGCAGUAAUAUAAUUUAGUUUGGUGAUCUUGGCUCGUCGACCGUUGAAUCUUAUGAUUUGCGAUGGCAUGUGGUGAAAUAGUUUGGUAUAUACGCUACAAGAGCCACAAGAAAAGCGCGCAGUUCAGUUUAAGAUCUCGAUCUGAGAGGACGUGGUGAUAAAGCUUAAAUUCUAGUUUCGGGUAACGACCAGUAUGGGUAAAGGCAAGGGAGGUGGCGGUGGCGGUGGCGGCGGAGGUGGAUCCGGCGGAAACCCCGGUGGCAAUCAAAAAGGUGGUGGAGGCAAAUCGAAAGGUGGAAAUGAAAAUAAAGGUGCUGCUGGAGGUAAGGGAGGCAACAAAGGAGGACAAAAGGGUGGCAAUAAAAAAUAGCAGUGGCGAUCUUGUGAGCUUCAACCCGUUCCCAGGGCAACAUCCGCAACCCAUAGCCUUUCGGAAAAGAUAAUCUGGACUGUGAAAUUUUUUGGCUACAGAAGUCAAACGAAAUCAUUACUUUAUAAGUAUAGUUUGUUUUUUUUUUAAUGUAUUUAACUGUGGUAAAAUAUUAUGCAUGUGUAUAAUUUAUAAGUCACUUUAUAAUUAGAAGCAACAAAUGAAAUUAAAGACGCAAAAGUAUUAUUCACUGAAAGCA
Armigeres subalbatus is the source of this 1940-nucleotide long non-coding RNA. RefSeq lists it as uncharacterized. The record is from RefSeq and is a predicted model, not a curated record. The transcript has 3 exons. Lineage: Eukaryota; Metazoa; Arthropoda; Insecta; Diptera; Culicidae.